Molecule: ribosomal RNA, 460 nt
Filed under: uncultured bacterium
Lineage: Bacteria
Description: partial 16S ribosomal RNA
Rfam family: Bacterial small subunit ribosomal RNA
Source: RNAcentral
CCUACGGGGGGCAGCAGUGAGGAAUAUUGGUCAAUGGACGGAAGUCUGAACCAGCCAUGCCGCGUGCAGGAAGACGGCUCUAUGAGUUUUAAACUGCUUUUGUACAAGGGUAAACCUGAAUACGUGUAUUCAGCUGAAAGUACUGUACGAAUAAGGAUCGGCUAACUCCGUGACGUCAGCCGCGGUAAUACGGGGGAUCCAAGCGUUAUCCGGAUUGAUUGGGUGUAAAGGGUGCGUAGGCGGAUUGAUAAGUUAGAUGUGAAAUGUCCGGGCUUAACUCGGGAACUGCCUCUAAUACUGUUGAUCUAGAGAGUAGAAGCGGUAGGCGGAAUGUAUGGUGUAGCGGUGAAAUGCUUAGAGAUCAUACAGAACACCGAUGGCGAAGGCAGCUUACCAAUCUAUAUCUGACGUUGAGGCACGAAAGCGUGGGGAGCAAACAGGAUUAGAUACCCCAGUAGUC